UGAACGCUGGCGGCAUGCCUUACACAUGCAAGUCGAACGGCAGCACGGGUGCUUGCACCUGGUGGCGAGUGGCGAACGGGUGAGUAAUACAUCGGAACAUGUCCUGUAGUGGGGGAUAGCCCGGCGAAAGCCGGAUUAAUACCGCAUACGAUCUACGGAUGAAAGCGGGGGACCUUCGGGCCUCGCGCUAUAGGGUUGGCCGAUGGCUGAUUAGCUAGUUGGUGGGGUAAAGGCCUACCAAGGCGACGAUCAGUAGCUGGUCUGAGAGGACGACCAGCCACACUGGGACUGAGACACGGCCCAGACUCCUACGGGAGGCAGCAGUGGGGAAUUUUGGACAAUGGGCGAAAGCCUGAUCCAGCAAUGCCGCGUGUGUGAAGAAGGCCUUCGGGUUGUAAAGCACUUUUGUCCGGAAAGAAAUCCUUGGCUCUAAUACAGUCGGGGGAUGACGGUACCGGAAGAAUAAGCACCGGCUAACUACGUGCCAGCAGCCGCGGUAAUACGUAGGGUGCGAGCGUUAAUCGGAAUUACUGGGCGUAAAGCGUGCGCAGGCGGUUUGCUAAGACCGAUGUGAAAUCCCCGGGCUCAACCUGGGAACUGCAUUGGUGACUGGCAGGCUAGAGUAUGGCAGAGGGGGGUAGAAUUCCACGUGUAGCAGUGAAAUGCGUAGAGAUGUGGAGGAAUACCGAUGGCGAAGGCAGCCCCCUGGGCCAAUACUGACGCUCAUGCACGAAAGCGUGGGGGAGCAAACAGGAUUAGAUACCCUGGUAGUCCACGCCCUAAACGAUGUCAACUAGUUGUUGGGGAUUCAUUUCCUUAGUAACGUAGCUAACGCGUGAAGUUGACCGCCUGGGGAGUACGGUCGCAAGAUUAAAACUCAAAGGAAUUGACGGGGACCCGCACAAGCGGUGGAUGAUGUGGAUUAAUUCGAUGCAACGCGAAAAACCUUACCUACCCUUGACAUGGUCGGAAUCCCGCUGAGAGGUGGGAGUGCUCGAAAGAGAACCGGCGCACAGGUGCUGCAUGGCUGUCGUCAGCUCGUGUCGUGAGAUGUUGGGUUAAGUCCCGCAACGAGCGCAACCCUUGUCCUUAGUUGCUACGCAAGAGCACUCUAAGGAGACUGCCGGUGACAAACCGGAGGAAGGUGGGGAUGACGUCAAGUCCUCAUGGCCCUUAUGGGUAGGGCUUCACACGUCAUACAAUGGUCGGAACAGAGGGUUGCCAACCCGCGAGGGGGAGCUAAUCCCAGAAAACCGAUCGUAGUCCGGAUUGCACUCUGCAACUCGAGUGCAUGAAGCUGGAAUCGCUAGUAAUCGCGGAUCAGCAUGCCGCGGUGAAUACGUUCCCGGGUCUUGUACACACUGCCC
This 1367-nucleotide ribosomal RNA is filed under the name uncultured beta proteobacterium. RNAcentral describes it as "16S ribosomal RNA". It matches the Rfam family "Bacterial small subunit ribosomal RNA", at positions 30 to 1395 of the family's 1533-position model. The record is from RNAcentral. Lineage: Bacteria; Pseudomonadati; Pseudomonadota; Betaproteobacteria.